GAUGAACGCUGGCGGCGUGCUUAACACAUGCAAGUCGAACGGAAAGGCCCUGCUUUUGUGGGGUGCUCGAGUGGCGAACGGGUGAGUAACACGUGAGUAACCUGCCCUUAACUUUGGGAUAACUUCAGGAAACUGGGGCUAAUACCGGAUAGGAGCUCCUGCUGCAUGGUGGGGGUUGGAAAGUUUCGGCGGUUGGGGAUGGACUCGCGGCUUAUCAGCUUGUUGGUGGGGUAGUGGCUUACCAAGGCUUUGACGGGUAGCCGGCCUGAGAGGGUGACCGGCCACAUUGGGACUGAGAUACGGCCCAGACUCCUACGGGAGGCAGCAGUGGGGAAUAUUGCACAAUGGGCGGAAGCCUGAUGCAGCAACGCCGCGUGCGGGAUGACGGCCUUCGGGUUGUAAACCGCUUUCGCCUGUGACGAAGCGUGAGUGACGGUAAUGGGUAAAGAAGCACCGGCUAACUACGUG
This 468-nucleotide ribosomal RNA is filed under the name uncultured bacterium. RNAcentral describes it as "partial 16S ribosomal RNA". It matches the Rfam family "Bacterial small subunit ribosomal RNA", at positions 28 to 507 of the family's 1533-position model. The record is from RNAcentral.